AUGAACGCUGGCGGCGUGCCUAAUACCUGCAAGUCGAGCGAACGGACGAGAAGCUUGCUUUUCUGAUGUUAGCGGCGGACGGGUGAGUAACACGUGGAUAACCUACCUAUAAGACUGGGAUAACUUCGGGAAACCGGAGCUAAUACCGGAUAAUAUUUUGAACCGCAUGGUUCAAAAGUGAAAGACGGUCUUGCUGUCACUUAUAGAUGGAUCCGCGCUACAUUAGCUAGUUGGUAAGGUAACGGCUUACCAAGGCAACGAUGCAUAGCCGACCUGAGAGGGUGAUCGGCCACACUGGAACUGAGACACGGUCCAGACUCCUACGGGAGGCAGCAGUAGGGAAUCUUCCGCAAUGGGCGAAAGCCUGACGGAGCAACGCCGCGUGAGUGAUGAAGGUCUUCGGAUCGUAAAACUCUGUUAUUAGGGAAGAACAUAUGUGUAAGCAACUGUGCACAUCUUGACGGUACCUAAUCAGAAAGCCACGGCUAACUACGUG
Molecule: ribosomal RNA, 496 nt
Filed under: uncultured bacterium
Lineage: Bacteria
Description: partial 16S ribosomal RNA
Rfam family: Bacterial small subunit ribosomal RNA
Source: RNAcentral